AGCAGCCGCGGUAAUUCCAGCUCCAAUAGCGUAUAUUAAAGUUGUUGCAGUUAAAAAGCUCGUAGUUGAAUUUCGGGGUUAGUAGGUUGGUCAUGCCUCUGGUAUGUACUGGUCUCACUGAUUCCUCCUUCCUGAUGAACCUUAAUGCCAUUUAUUUGGUGUUUUGGGGAAUUUGGACUGUUACUUUGAAAAAAUUAGAGUGUUUAAAGCAAGCUAACGCUUGAAUACAUUAGCAUGGAAUAAUGAAAUAGGACGUUCGAUCCUAUUUUGUUGGUUUCUAGGAUUGACGUAAUGAUUAAUAGGGAUAGUUGGGGGCAUUAGUAUUCAAUUGUCAGAGGUGAAAUUCUUGGAUUUAUUGAAGCUAACUACUGCGAAAGCAUUUGCCAAGGAUGUUUUCAUUAAUCAAGAACGAAAGUUAGGGAUCGAAGACGAUCAGAUACCGUCGUAGUCUUAACCAUAAACUAUGCCGACUAGGGAUCGGAUGAUGUUAUUUUUANGACUCAUUCGGCNCCUUACGGAA
This 520-nucleotide ribosomal RNA is filed under the name uncultured Glomus. RNAcentral describes it as "SSU rRNA". It matches the Rfam family "Eukaryotic small subunit ribosomal RNA", at positions 569 to 1095 of the family's 1831-position model. Lineage: Eukaryota; Fungi; Glomeromycota; Glomeromycetes; Glomerales; Glomeraceae. The record is from RNAcentral.